Molecule: non-coding RNA, 73 nt
Organism: Daphnia pulex (common water flea)
Lineage: Eukaryota; Metazoa; Arthropoda; Branchiopoda; Diplostraca; Daphniidae
Source: Rfam
GUGAUCCUUGGCACUGGAAGAAUUCACAGAGUGCAUUACGACAGGUCGUGGGUUCCCUGGUGCCAGAGAUUGC